Molecule: long non-coding RNA, 247 nt
Filed under: Carica papaya (papaya)
Lineage: Eukaryota; Viridiplantae; Streptophyta; Magnoliopsida; Brassicales; Caricaceae
Description: long non-coding RNA (CPAP_LNC013078)
Source: RNAcentral
UUAGGAACUUUUCUUUGUGUCCAUUUUUUACCUAACUUGCAAGGACUCGAUUAAGAGGAUCCCAACUCCAAUGCUCAACUUGACUAAGAGAGUGAGUGUGGUAGUAGAUACGAGUGUAGUAGGAUAACAUGAAUUUUGGCAUCGAGACAUUAGUGCAGUUCCACAUGCGUAUGUUCCACCAGACCCCGGUACCAUCCUAACACCUUCCACUACUUUUUAGCUUCCUUGUUGUACCCAGAAUUGCUAC